Molecule: long non-coding RNA, 227 nt
Filed under: Hordeum vulgare
Lineage: Eukaryota; Viridiplantae; Streptophyta; Magnoliopsida; Poales; Poaceae
Description: long non-coding RNA (HVUL_LNC003379)
Source: RNAcentral
GAGUCCCGAUCGCAUCUGUWUCAACCAUCGCCGCAUGUGCUCCCCAUCCCGCUCUAAACUCCUCGUGAUCCACUCCUUUGUGCUGUCUGGAUCCAGCGUAGGGAUGUCUUCCAGUUUCAUCCCAUCCAAGGGAGAAAUAUAAGAGGGAGAGAGGAUGGAGCACAGCGGCGGUGCCGGCCUAAGCGCCGCUCGAGCGCCGGUCGCCGCUUCUACUUCCAAGCGAGGCG